Molecule: non-coding RNA, 54 nt
Organism: Salmo salar (Atlantic salmon)
Lineage: Eukaryota; Metazoa; Chordata; Actinopteri; Salmoniformes; Salmonidae
Source: Rfam
GAUAUCAUAAGGUGUAAGUCGCUCUGGAUAAGAGUGUCUGCUAAAUGAUGUAAA